CAAGCUCAAGCUCCACAACAGGUCCCGACUCUUGUAUUCCCAAGUUUAAAGAUUACCGCUCAAUGAAGAACCCCUUCUAUCCAUCCAGGUCUGAUGAGAGCCCAGAAGAAGUCUUCUUUAGAGGCAAACAAUAUCAUGGGCCAGCAGAGCUGGACGAGAUGGAGCAACCGAGUUCUGGUUUGAUGCUCGUUGAUGGUGCGGAUCAAGAUGGUGCAUCUGAGCUGAAUGAAGUCAAUGAAAGUGGCUUUGACGAGGAGAUGCUGGAGCUGGAUGAGUCCAUCUCUCCAGGUGACACCAUGGAGAGACAUCACAGGGAGCUUCUUAUUCAUGUCAUCCCACCGUCCCUGUGCAACUCUGAGGAACAAAUCGACGAAGGAUUAUCCAACGGUGUCAAGCAUAACACGUGUGACAGAGACGAAGCCGAUGCUCCAAAGAAACGGAGAGGUUCGGUAAUGACAAUAAUCACUGGGGACUGUGAGCAUGUCUUCUCAUUUGAUGAGGAGCAUCAGAUAGAUGCUUUGAACCCUGUGGGUGAGUCUCCUACUGCGUCUCCAAUAGAGGACCUUGCCUGCAUCAGAGAAGUGGUGGAGGAGCUCCAGGAUUCCUCACAAGCACGAAAAACCACAACUUCUGCGAAUAGUAUGCUAAUCUUACAUAUAGACACGUCCUCUCAACAGUCUGGAGAAGUGCAAACAAAUGAACCCCUGGAUAAAACAAGCACAGAUGUCUAUACUACAGCCAAGCUUUAUAAAAAUUACUUGUCUGAACGGCAAAGUGCCUCAAAAAAUUCAUUAGAGGUCAAAGAGCACCUCAGGCCUCCAACGGACUCCAUUCAUAAAGAUUCAGAGGAGCAUUCAGACCACUGGGCAAGGAGACGCAAGCUCUUCAAGGAGAGCAAACAGCGCAGUUCUGCAGGAGGAAGCUCUAUUACUAGCAAUAUCACAGAGGAAUCAGGUAUUCACUUACAUAUACACUCAAUUCAUGUGCCGAUUGGUUUCGAAGGAAGUUUUUGUGCAAUCAAUGCAUUUCUUCCUAUUUAUGACAACUCAUUUUAGGUCACAAAAAGUGAAUUUAAACCAGUGUGACCAUGGAGUCUAAAUUCACAGUUUACUCAUGCUCUUCUGAAGCUAAUAAUUCUACUUAAUGCUAUUUGAAUAUAUUAAACAUUAGAAUAAUAUAUUAAUGUAGCCUUAUUCAUUAAAG
Molecule: long non-coding RNA, 1203 nt
Filed under: Sinocyclocheilus grahami
Lineage: Eukaryota; Metazoa; Chordata; Actinopteri; Cypriniformes; Cyprinidae
Description: lncRNA (ENSSGRG00000006410.1)
Source: RNAcentral